UUUUCCCGUUGCAAUCUAUUUCAUAUAAUAAAAUUAGGGCUCCCCAACUUCAUCCCAUUCCGUCACUCUCUCUCGCUAGGGCCCUUACUCCGACUUCCUCCUCAUCAGUUCUCUCCCGCCGGCGAUUGGCCAAGUCGCCGUCCAUCCCACCGUCCCUUCUUUCCGCUCUCUCUCUCCCACAUGAAUUGAUUUGACUGGAGAAUUUUGUUAAUCUUGGAGACAAUUGCGCAAAAGCAACCCGUGAGAAAAUUAAGAUUGUGGUCUUUGAAGAACAUCUUGAGGAUUUACGUAAAGAAGGUCGUUUGAAAUGGGAGAAAUGCAAAUUCCAGUCUUAUCAAGCGUGAGAUCUAUUGUUGUUCUUAAUCUUCCUAACUAUGGAAGCGGAAGAAAUCCAUGGAGCAAGCUAAAGCCAGAUUAUCUAGAGAAGUAAGCGGUUGCACAACAACAGUGGAUAGGGAAAGAGCCCCCCCUCCUGGUUUUUUGGGAGAUCAAGGCAUAGUUACUUUUAUAUAAUACAUAUUCUGGUGGCUUCUGCGGCUCCUCUCAACUGAUGCCGAGGGGGUUUGUUCAGGCUUACCCCAAUGAUGAUUGUCUCGAAAAUUUUGGUCUUAAACAUGGAUGGCUUGCUUUGAUGGUUAUGGCUGAAGUAAUAUCCUCCAAACACAUAGAACAGAUGGUGCAAAGGUUGAAGAGGAGAAAUAUAUGCAGUACUUCUUUGAUGAUUGGUUUAGUUUCAUUGAUCAACAUCAACCUAAGGCUGUCAUAUUCUCCGAUGCUUGUCCGGACACAAGGUGGAUUGGGGACGAGGCUGCUGUCGCUGGAGUACCUGUUGGUCUCUCUUCAACCGCAUCAAUCAAUUACAUUAUUGGCAACACUGAUAUGGAUGCUCAAGUUGCAUAUAGUUUCCACCAUUUACGAAAUGAAAAACCUUACCUUGCUCAAGGUCCCAUUUCAAAUAAGGACUUCUGUAAUCAGGCAACACCAGGGCAGAAAGUGUAGAAAGAAACAAGGGAGGGUUGGAAUAAGAGCAAGAUGGGAAGAAAAGAAAAAAAAAGAGGAAGCAAAUAUGUGAAAAAAAAAGAAAAAUUGGUGGAACAGAUGUUGAAAAGCAGAAAAAGAAGAAAAAGAAGUGAAAAAAGAGAGGAAGUAGAUAUGAGGGAAAAAAAAAGAAAAAAUGGUGGAACAGAUCUAGAAAAAGAAAAAAACAUAGAGCAGUAUAGGCUAUUGGAGAAAGGGACGGGGAGCUUCGUGAUGGAGUAGGGGGAGGGGAAGACGACGAUUUUUCGAGGUUUCAACUUAAAGCACUACUGGACGAGAAAUCAAGAGAGGAAAAUGAGAAUGCAAACUUGACUAGGGAAAACCAGCUACCUGAAUCAGCUAGUGGAGUACCCUCACUUAACAGAUCCGAAAUCGCAUGAAAAUAAGAGUGUGUAUGCUGAAAGCUGCAAAGGAACUAGAUGGAUAAUGUCAGCUUGCUAUCCAAUUUUUCUUAUUCAUGAAAUUAAGAGGUACGAGAACUAUUGUAGUGAUCAGCAAAGUAUAUCAAUCAUCAUCAGGAAUCUAACCUGGAAAAAGUUGCAAAAGUUGAGGAAACUUCUCCCCAAAAGAGAGCUCUAAAGAUAAAAAAGAAAAUGGUCCAGAUUCGGGAAAAGCACCCAGUCUAUUAUUGAAGACAACGAGUAUAGUUCCGUCUAAGACUGUCCCUUAAAGAAUGGAUAUAUACACUAAGAAAUAUCAUCAGUUCAAAAGGAGGACAAGAGAAGGGUGAAUCUGGCCCUCCAUUGCGCAAAAGUCUUUCCAUGGUUCUCUUGUAUGGAUGCCCAAGUUGCAUACGGUUUCCACCAUUUACGCUAUGAAAAACCUUACCUUGCACAAGGUCCCAUUUCAAAUAAGUACUUUUGUAAUCAGGCAACACUAGGGCAUAAUGUGUAGAAAGAAACAUGGAAGGGUUGGAAAAGAAGAAAAAAAACAGAAAAACCAAGAAAAAAAGAGGAAGCAGAUAUGUGAAAAAAAAAGAAAAAAAAAUGGUGGAAGCAUAUAGGUGGAAAAAAAGCAAAAAAACAGAGAGCAAAAUCAAAGAAAGAGACGGGGAGCUUCGUGGUGGAGUAGUGGGAGGGGAAGACGGCGAUUUGGCGAGGCUUCGACUUAAAGCACUUCUGGAAGACAAAUCAAGACCGGAAAAUGAGAAUGAAAACUUGACUAGGGAAAACCAGCUACCAGAAUCAGCUAGUGGAGUACCCUCGCUUAACAGAUCCGAAAUCCAAUGAAAAUAAGAGUGUGUAUGCUGAACGCUGCAAAGGAACUAGAGGGAUAAUGUCAGCUUGCUAUCCAAUUUUUUUCUUAUUCAUGAAAUUAAGAGGUACAAGGACUAUUAGAGUGAUCAGCAAAGUAUAUCAAUCAUCAAUAUGAAUCUAACUGGAAAAAGUCUAGUAAUCAAGAUAACAAGUAUAGUUCUGUCUAAGACUGUCCCUGAAAGACCAUAGUGCCAUUGUUUUGAAGACUGAAAGUGCUACUGACAAGGCAGAAUGGAUAAAUACAGUAAGAAAUAUCGUCAGCUCAAAAGGAGGUCUUGUGAAGGGUGAAUCUGGCCAUCUAUUGCGCCGAAGUCUUUCCGAUUGUUCUCUUACAAUCUGACAAGAUACUAUAUGUGAUGAAGGUACGGAUGCCCAAGUUGCAUACGGUUUCCACCAUUUACGCAAUGAAAGACCUUACCUUGCACAAGGUCCCAUUUCAAAUAAGCAGUACUUUUGUAAUCAGGCAACACUAGGGCAUAAUGUGUAGAAAGAAACAUGGAAGGGUUGGAAAAGAAGAAAAAAAACAGAAAAACCAAGAAAAAAAGAGGAAGCAGAUAUGUGAAAAAAAAAGAAAAAAAAAUGGUGGAAGCAUAUAGGUGGAAAAAAAGCAAAAAAACAGAGAGCAAAAUCAAAGAAAGAGACGGGGAGCUUCGUGGUGGAGUAGUGGGAGGGGAAGACGGCGAUUUGGCGAGGCUUCGACUUAAAGCACUUCUGGAAGACAAAUCAAGACCGGAAAAUGAGAAUGAAAACUUGACUAGGGAAAACCAGCUACCAGAAUCAGCUAGUGGAGUACCCUCGCUUAACAGAUCCGAAAUCCAAUGAAAAUAAGAGUGUGUAUGCUGAACGCUGCAAAGGAACUAGAUGGAUAAUGUCAGCUUGCUAUCCAAUUUUUUUCUUAUUCAUGAAAUUAAGAGGUACAAGGACUAUUGGAGUGAUCAGCAAAGUAUAUCAAUCAUCAGUAUGAAUCUAACUGGAAAAAGUCUAGUAAUCAAGAUAACAAGUAUAUUUCUGUCUAAGACUGUCCCUGAAAGAUUCAUACUGAUGAUUGAU
This is an RNA transcript of Salvia splendens (bonfire salvia), 3344 nucleotides long. RefSeq lists it as uncharacterized. The record is from RefSeq and is a predicted model, not a curated record. The transcript has 21 exons. Lineage: Eukaryota; Viridiplantae; Streptophyta; Magnoliopsida; Lamiales; Lamiaceae.